GAAGAGGAUAAGGAAGGAGAAAAAUAGAAAAGGGAAGGGACAACGUGGGCCCGACAAAAAAAACGUGCCGAUGCAGGGAGGUAGCGCAUGCCAGCGAGGACCCGCGUGGCGAAGCAGCGUGCGACCGGCGCAAACUCGGCCGGCGCACCGUUGCCAAACGUUUCCCAUAAACAAAGCAUAUAUUCAUAAUAUCACAAGCAGAAGCAUCCAACAAGCUCCUACAACCCAUGUAGAGCAAAGUGGUGAAGCCACCAACUGUUAUGCUACACAUAGCAAAGAAAACAUACGGUCCAACACACCUUGACACGUAAACAUAGUGAUCAUGGAAACCAACCAAGGCAAAGUUUAUACACCACAAGUAGAUCCUAGCUACCAAGAAUCAUGAACUAAAUAUGAGAGUUAUCAUGAUCGGCUAGGUGGAUGGAAGGGGUGUGAAAUGUGUGAGUGAACACCCAUGGGAGCUACGCCCUUCCUAAUACUUGCAAAGCCUCACGGUGAUGUACCUGAAACAAAGUCCACGAGGGGUGAGUCCAAAGACUCAGCGAGUACACAACAAAGCAUGUAAUAAAAUGGCAAGUAAUACCAUGAAUAUGAACCAUGCUUGAUCAAGUAAAUACUAUAAUCGAAUCUUCCAUGCUUGGAAUGGCAUGAGAAAACAUGAAGAAAAGAUGCAACCAAGUAAGACCGAGGACUAGGCUCUGAGCUUUUGCCGGCAAGCUGAGGAGGGGCGACGUCUCACCUCACUCCUUUUCAACCCUCACCAAGUGAGAGGACCAUAACAUGAGGACGGACCCGAAGGACCAUACACUCGCGAAGCGAGGAUCACUCCUUGAACUUGGAAGAUUCACUCAUGAUGGAUUUGUUAUCAAGAACCAAGAAAACCAAUCCCUAUCACAUACCAGUGGUAUGGUGUAUUGAAAUGUACACUAGGGAAUUAUAUGUUCACCAUUGCAUGAAUGUACAGGAAUAACGUGAACAUGGACAUAAUAUUAAGGGAGCAAUCUAGGUCUUGUUGCCCGGUGUACUCGCCUCAACCGUUGCGAGGGAGGUGGCGCGAGGCUAUCUCCGGUGGAUUUGUGCUGCAACCUGCUGUAGAGACAUAAGUACAAGUUUUAAAGAUUGAAUCAAAGCAGGCUAUGUAAAGCACACACAAAAACGCGCCUAAUCGCAUUCCCGGGAAGCAACCCUUUGCUGUCCCUUCACGGAAAAAAUCAUAGCUCAUCAAGCUAGGAAGCUCUAAAACAUGCAAACGAGAUGGCUAUGGAUUCAUGGGGAACUCAUCUACAAAUAACUCCAACUAUUCAACCUCAGAUUAUGAGGUUACGGGUGUCAAAACCAGCAAAAACAUCUCUGCUGUUUUCAGAUUUAGGAAUAAUGAGUAGCCGCCUUUGGAAAUCCAUAGCAACACCAAUACUCAUGGGGAGUAAGUAAAUAAAAUUGAUCUAUGAACUAAAAGGUAUCAGGUAGCUAUACAAUUGUAUAGCAUCAAUUUAUCAGCCCUCGAAGAUCCUGAAAAGCUAUGGGCAAAAACAACAGAAAUGCUGUUUUGCAGAAACAGAGCAGCAACUUUUUUUUAUCGCCCCGCCUAAACGGCUGAACCAAAUUGAGUGAAUGACCACUCAAAACGAUUGUGGGAACAAUACCUACAAAACAUACCACAUGACCCCCACCUAAUUUUGCCAUAUAGGAACUCGAAAUUGCUGGUUUCCAGAUCUGAACGCCCAGAAACAGCAGCAUGAACAACUUUUUCCCCAAUUCCUUCACAUAGGUUUCUAGUCCUAACCCUAUACUCCAUGAAUCAUCACUAAUAGAGGAUGAGAGAUAAUAAAUGAUGGAGAACCUCACCUCUAUGGUCAAAUCACAAAGAUUUGGUUAAGGGAAAAGUUGGGGAAGCUUUCUUGUUCUCCCUCGUCUCCUUUCCUUCUUCCUCAAAGCCCUAAAUCAAAGGGCAGCCAUGGAGGUGGUGAAGGGCGUGGUGCAGCAAGGAGGCACCUGGGGAGGAGUGGGGAAGGAAGGGAGGAGGGAGUAGGCUGGCUGGAGAAGAGAGGAGAAAGGGAUUCUUCCCUUCGGCUUGGGGAAGAGAAGAAAGAUGUGGAGCACGCCUCCUAUGGACAAGGAGAGCUCACAUUGUGAGGGAGAGGUAAGAGAUAAGGUUCAGUUUUUUUUUCUAUUUCCUGAAUUAGAGAAUAUUUUGAAAUUCCCUAAUAAUAUAAGCCAUGGUAUUGAAAUAAAUCAUAGGAGAUGAACCCGGAGUCCGACUCAAGGAAAUAGGUAAGGCAUUUCGACUAUCUCGGCGAGCCCGGCGCAGCUAAAGAGUCUGAAAGCACGAUUUAUGGAAAAAUCGAUUAUUGGAAACCGGGGGUGUUACAGUCUCACCACCUUAACUAGAACUCGCCCACGAGUUCUCUCCUUAAACUACCGGGAAAGCUUCAUACAUGGCAUAGAACAUAACGGGAAAGAAUUUUAAUGGUUAGAACGUACCAUCAGAGAACAAUUCUGGGUACUUUUCGCGCAUUUGGGACUCUCGUUCCUCGGUUGCUUCUUGUUCUGUUUGAUUUGUCCAAAGAAUCUUCACAUACUUGAGCUUUCGGUGCCUCAAGGCACGCUCAGACUCGUCAAGAAUCUUCAAUGGACGGGACUCAAGUGUAAGAUCUUGCGCAAUGGUGACCGGUUCGGUAAGAACAAGAAGUUCAGAGUCUUCAAGAUACUUCCGAAGCAUGGAAACAUGGAAAACAUCGUGCACUCCACGCAUUGAUUGUGGCAAAUCUAUGCGGUAGGCAAGCUUCCCGACUCGAGCAACCACAAGAAACGGCCCGACAUACCGAGGACUAAGCUUGCCUUUUGUGCCAAAUAUCACAAUUCCUUUGGUUGGCGACACUUUAAGAAGCACUUUGUCACCCACUUGAAAUUCUAGAGCUCGCCGUCUGACAUCAGCAUAGCUCUUUUGUCUACUUUGCGCUGUAAGCAUGUUUUGACGAAUCUCUGCGACACGAUCAACAGUUUGUUGAACCCAAUCCGGUCCAAGAACUGCCCGCUCACCCACUGAAUCCCAACAGAGAGGUGACCUACACCUUCGACCAUAAAGGACUUCAAAGGGUGCAGCCUUGAUAGUUGCAUGAUAACUGUUGUUAUAAGCGAAUUCCUCAAGAGGCAAGUGGUCUUCCCAUGUACCUUGCCAUGACAGGGCACAUGUGUGAAGCAAGUCUUCGAGAGUUUGAAUGGUACGCUCGGACUGACCAUCAGUCUGAGGGUGAAAAGCUGUGCUGAACCGGAUCUCAGUACCCAAGGCAUUUUGUAAGCUCUCCCAGAAUUUGGAGGUGAACUAUGCAUCACGAUUAGAGAUGAUCGUUUUAGGCACACCAUGAAGACGAAUGAUCUCACGUGUAUAUAUUGGAGCUAAUUGACUAGCUGAGUUUGUGGUACAAAUUGGAAUGAAGUGUGCCGACUUGCUGAGACGAUCCACCACAACCCAAAUGGCAUCCUUACCUCUUGGGGUGCGUGGCAAGCCAAUGACAAAGUCCAUGGUGAUAUCUUCCCAUGGCCAUUGCGGGGCCUCCAAAGGUUGAAGCUUCCCACCAGGGCUUUUGUGUUCGGCUUUGACUCGUUGGCAAACACCACAUGAAGCCACAUACUUAGACACAUCUACUUUCAUCCGCUUCCACCAGAAGUUUUGCUUUAGAUCAUGGUACAUCUGGGUCUCACCGGGAUGAACUGUGUAAGGGGUGCGAUGAGCUUCUUUGAGGAUAUCAUCUUUCACCUAAGACCUCUGCGGAACGCAAAGGCGACCUUGAAAUCGGACAACUCUAGUUCCAUCAAUGGUGAAUGGACCUACCCUUCCUUCACGAACGCGCUUAGCGGCUUGCAUUAGCAAACGAUCUCGUUCUUGUGCUCGUCUAAUGCGCUCCACAAUGUCAGACACAAUGGAUAAUUGGAUUUCCGUUUGUGCUGCACCCGCAUAACAAAAAGAAAUAUCCAUUCUCUCUAGCUCGGAUGAGAGGGUUGCCACAGUAGGAGCAACUACCUUGCGGCUUAGGGCAUCAGCCACCACAUUAGCUCGGCCGGGUUUGUAGUGGAUGGUGAGAUCAUAAUCCUUUAUCAGUUCCAAGCACCUUCUCUGUCUUAGAUUCAACUCUUUCUGAGUAAAGAUGUACUUCAGACUUUUGUGAUCCGUAUACAUGUCACAACCCUCUCCAUAGAGAAGAUGCCUCCAGAUUUUGAGAGCAUGAACGAUUGCUGCCAAUUCUAGAUCAUGGGUUGUGUAAUUCUGCUCAUGUGGCUUCAACUGUCGCGAUGCAUAGGCAAUAACCUUGUCGUCCUUGAUGAGCACACAUCCGAGUCCAAGUUGGGAUGCAUCUGAAUAUACCGCAAAACGCUUACCUGGUUCAGGUAGCGACAAGAUCGGGGUAGUCACCAAUCGCUCCUUGAGAUGACAGAAACUCUUCUCACAAUCCUCAUCCCAAUGGAAUUUGGAGUUGACUUGUGUCGGCUUGGUCAUUGGUUUGGCAAUGGUAGAAAAGUUCUUUACAAACUGUUGAUAAUACCCGGCGAAGCCCAGGAAACUCCUUACUUCCUUAACAUUGGUUGGCCUUGCCCAAUUAACAACGGUGGAGAUCUUGCUCGGGUCAACAGAUAUGCCAUGUUGAUUGAUUAUGUGGCCUAGAAAGCCAACUUCUGAAAGCCAGAACUCACAUUUCUUCAACUUGGCAUAGAAUUUGUGUUGCCGCACGGUUUCAAGCACUAUUCUGAGAUGUCGAGCAUGAUCUUCCUCUGUCUUGGAAUAAAUAACAAUGUCAUCAAUGAAUAUGACCACAAAGUUGUCCAGAUAAGGGUGAAGCAUACUAUUCAUUGUCUCCAUGAAACACGCUGGGGCAUUGGUCAGACCAAAGGACAUGACCUUACACUCAUAAUGCCCAUACCUAGUGGAGAAAGCAGUCUUCUUGAUAUCUUGCUCUCGAACUCGAAUCUGAUUAUAACCAGAUUGCAGGUCGAUCUUAGAGAAAACCUUCGCUCCCUUCAAUUGAUCAAAAAGGUCCUCGAUACGAGGAAGUGGAUACUUGUUCUUUAUAGUCACCCGAUUGAGGGCACGGUAAUCAAUACACAUGCGCCAGCUGCCAUCUUUCUUAGCAACGAAGAGUACGGGUGCACCCCAUUCGGAAACACUCUUCCGAAUAAGUCCUUUAGAGAGAAGGUCAUCUAUUUGCUUCUUGAGCUCUUCCUGGAAGAGCCGAGCCAAACGAUAUGGUGCUAUAAAAAUAGGUUGAGUGCCAGGAAUCAAUUCAAUGCAGAACUCAGUGUCUCGCUCUGGAGGCAUGCCUGGGAGCUCAUCCGGGAAGACAUCAGGAUAGUCACACAUUACUACUAUAUUUUGGAGGCACAGUGGGGUACUUGGUUUUCCAAGAAGAGUCCACAAUAUCCCACUCUUCGGGGAUGGCUGGCCUGGAAAGAGACUGGCCAACGUUGACAAAGAUGGUGGAGGUGCACUAGCUUGGUAGACACACUCCUUCCCCUGAGGGGGAGUCAAGGGUGAUAAUUCUCCAAAAGCAAGAGAUCACUGCUCUAUAAGCUUGUAGCCAAUCCAUACCAAGAAUUACAUCAAAAGGCUAAAGUGGAAGGAUGAACAGAUUCGCAGUGAAAUCUUCAUCCUCAAUAGAAAUAUCACAGCCAGGACACACAGUGCUACAAGAAAGGAGUCCCCCUGGAGAACUAACCCUCACUGGUUGGGAAAUUUCUUGCCUAGACAUGUUUGCCCGAUUCGCAAAGUCUACCGAUACAUAUGAGAAACUGGAACCAGAAUCAAAUAGUACUAGAGCUUCAACUGAGUUGACAGGUAGAGUACCUAUCACGACAUCCGGACGUCCAGCAGUAGAUGAUGAAGGCAGGGUAUGAAAGCUCUGACAAGCUAGUGCAGGUGGAGCGCCAAUCUGGGGCACGAUUGGAGGAGCAUUGGGUACUGGGUAGUUAGUGGCGUUGUGUGAGUUGGUGGCCAAUAGUACCCUUGAGGAGGAGGACCCCAAGUUGCAUAUUGAUAUGGAGGAGCUUGAAUAUUCUUCAUUGCUUGGACAGACCCAUGUGAGGACAUGGGCAUUGAUGAGGACUCCGGUUGGGAAGACACAGUCUGCCACUUGAUUAUGCUAGCAGGGUUCAACUUACAAACCCGUUCAAUGUGACCAGUUUUGUGACAGCCAUUGCACACACCGGUCCAAUUGCACUCAUUAGCUCUAUGGCCUUCGCCACACUUGAAGCACAUCAUCCCUUGACCAGGCAUUGGACUAUGAUGCACAAGUGGGCCAGUAGAGGAUGAGGCCUUCUGCGACCUCUUCUUGAAGGGCUGAGGGGUAGACUGGAUAUUCUUAAACUUCUUCAUGGGGCGAUGGUUAGACUUGUCGUUGCCACCAUAGUCCCGCUUUUGGUUGGCACCCGCAGUAGAGAAAUUACUGGGGCCACCGGGUGGGGAAGAUAUCAUUGGAGGAGGUGAGCCAUUCUGCAGCUCAAACUCUAUCUUUUUGGCUUUCUCAACCAAGGAAGCAAAGCUACAGGACCCAGCAGCGCUGAGCACAACACAAUACUACUGCUCUAGCCCAUCCUUAAACCUCCUUGCCUUCUCUUUAUCAUUAUUAACCACUGUUGGCACAAAGCGGAUGAUAUCGUUGAACUCGGUUUCAUAAUCCUGAAUUGUUUUGUUUCCUUGCCUUAACUUGCUUAGUGCAUUCUCCAUCCUCUCUACAUAGGAAGCCGGAUAGUACUUCUCAACGAAUUGAGUUCGAAAGAACUCCCAAGUAGGUGUGGCAUGCUCUGGUGGUAAAGAGGAACGAACAUUCUCCCACCAGAUGUCUGCAUUGCCCUUUAGCUGAAUAGUAGCAAACAUCACCUUCUGGGCUGGUUGCACUAGCAUGACCUCAAGGCGUCGUUCCAUGAUGCGCAACCAAUCAGCUGCCACUACAAGAGUCCCAGUCCCAUUAAAAGUGUCAGAGUGUACCAUAGACCAUGUGAGAAGAGGAUUAACUUGUCUUGAGCCAAAUGGCUCAUUCAUCAUGCCCUGAGCAUUGGCAGGUGCAGGAGUUGUGGCUUGGGCUUGGGCUUGCUGACGAAGUGUGUGGAGUUCUUGCAUCAACUCACGCCACUCAACUUGAGGUGGCGGAGCAACAUCAUCAGCUGCCACUGAUCCCUCACCACUCUCCUCAGCUAUAGGUUGGGCACUCCUGCGUCCACGACCUCGGGGUUUAGCACCAGCAGUUGUUUUUCCCCGAGUGGGUGGAACUUGCUUUCUACCAGCUUUACCCCUAGGCAUCUAAGGAACACAAGAAGAUUACCCAGUUAACCAAAGAAAUAAAAAGGUAGAAUAUGGACGGGCAAAGAUACAAGCUCAUACUUGACACUGGAUUCAUUGAAAUAUAAACCCAAGAGACCCAGAAACGAGUAGUACUCGAACACCAGACUACUUAAUAUGCAUUAGAAAACACAAGCAAUCUAUGCACAUAGAACAAGGCUUGCAAGUAUCUAACUAAAGAGAUCGUUCCUAUUGUGCACCAGUGUGUCAUGUUUUUUUUAACCAUCUAAUCAAGUUUUUUUUUAUUUAGAAAGAACCUAACAACAUACUAGUAAGAGAAUUGGGGUAUUUCACCCAAUCUCAACAGAAUUGACGCCCUCGUCAAUUUUGUUUUACACUAACAAACAAACAAUUAUAUCUAGCAAGCAAGCAUUUGAAAGGUCCUAGGAUCUUUCUUUGGUAUAUAUGCUUACGCAUGUAUAGCAAAGAUAGAGCUUAACUGAUACCAACUAUAACACCCCUCCUUGCAGGAAGGAAUGUUACCACCAAGAAUGUAAACAAACCAAACAUGCUCGUGAGAAAAUCCGGCAGCACUUCCUUUGUACCGUCAGACAUCCACGACAGGCAAAUGAAUAAACAGAGCAUAUAUUCAUAAUAUCACAAGCAGAAGCAUCCAACAAGCUCCUACAACCCAUGUAGAGCAAAGUGGUGAAGCCACCAACUGUUAUGCUACACAUAGCAAUGAAAACAUACGUUCCAACACACCAUGGUGCAAGGUGGGGACUAGUCAACUCCAACCCACCUUGACAGGUAAACAUAGUGAUCAUGGAAACCAACCAAGGCAAAGUUUAUACACCACAAGUAGAUCCUAGCUACCAAGAAUCAUGAACUAAAUAUGAGAGUUAUCAUGAUCGGCUAGGUGGAUGGAAGGGGUGUGAAAUGUGUGAGUGAACACCCAUGGGAGCUACGCCCUUCCUAAUACUUACAAAGCCUCACGGUGAUGUACCUGAAACAAAGUCCACGAGGGGUGAGUCCAAAGACUCAGCGAGUACACAACAAAGCAUGUAAUAAAAUGGCAAGUAAUACCAUGAAUAUGAGCCAUGCUUGAUCAAGUAAAUACUAUACUCGAAUCUUCCAUGCUUGGAAUGGCAUGAGAAAACAUGAAGAGAAGAUGCAACCAAGUAAGACCGAGGACUAGGCUCUGAGCUUUUGCCGGCAAGCUGAGGAGGGGCGACGUCUCACCUCACUCCUUUUCAACCCUCACCAAGUGAGAGGACCAUAACAUGAGGACGGACCCGAAGGACCAUACACUCGCGAAGCGAGGAUCACUCCUUGAACUUGGAAGAUUCACUCAAGAUGGAUUUGUUAUCAAGAACCAAGAAAAACCAAUCCCUAUCACAUACCAGUGGUAUGGUGUAUUGAAAUGUACACUAGGGAGUUAUAUGUUCACCAUUGCAUGAAUGUACAGGAAUAACGUGAACAUGGACAUAAUAUUAAGGGAGCAAUCUAGGUCUUGUUGCCCGGUGUACUCGCCUCAACCGUUGCGAGGGAGGUGGCGCGAGGCUAUCUCCGGUGGAUUUGUGCUGCAACCUGCUGUAGAGACAUAAGUACAAGUUUUAAAGAUUGCAUCAAAGCAGGCUAUGUAAAGCACACACAAAAACGCGCCUAAUCGCAUUCCCGGGAAGCAACCCUUUGAUGUCCCUUCACGGAAAAAAUCAUAGCUCAAGCUAGGAAGCUCUAAAACAUGCAAACGAGAUGGAUAUGGAUUCAUGGGGAACUCAUCUACAAAUAACUCCAACUUUUCAACCUCAGAUUAUGAGGUUACGGGGGUCAAAACCAGCAAAAACAUCUCUGCUGUUUUCAGAUUCAGGAAUAAUGAGUGGCCGCCUUUGGAAAUCCAUAGCAAGACCAAUACUCAUGGGGAGUAAGUAAAUAAAAUUGAUCUAUGAACUAAAAGGUAUCAGGUAGCUAUACAAUUGUAUAGCAUCAAUUUAUCAGCCCUCGAAGAUCCUGAAAAGCUAUGGGCAAAAACCAUAGAAAUGUUGUUUUGCAGAAACAGAGCAGCAACUUGUUUUUAUCGCCCCAGCUAAACGGCUUACCCAAAUUGAGUGAAUGACCACUCAAAACGAUCGUGGGAACAAUACCUACAAAACAUUCCACAUGACCCCCUCCUAAUUUUGCCAUAUAGGAACUCGAAAUUGCUGGUUUCCAGAUCUGAACGCCCAGAAACAGCAGCAUGAACAACUUUUUCCCCAAUUCCUUCACAUAGGUUUCUAGUCCUAACCCUAUACUCCAUGAAUCAUCACUAAUAGAGGGUGAGAGAUCAUAAAUGAUGGGGAACCUCACCUCUAUGGUCAAAUCACAAAGAUUUGGUUAAGGGAAAAGUUGGGGAAGCUUUCUUGUUCUCCCUCUUCUUGUCUCCUUUCCUUCUUCCUCAAAGCCCUAAAUCAAAGGGCAGCCAUGAAGGUGGUGAAGGGCGUGGUGCAGCAAGGAGGCACCUGGGGAGGAGUGGGGAAGGAAGGGAGGAGGGAGUAGGCUGGCUGGAGAAGAGAGGAGAAAGGGAUUCUUCCCUUCGGCUUGGGGAAGAGAAGAAAGAUGUGGAGCACGCCUCCUAUGGACAAGGAGAGCUCACAUUGUGAGGGAGAGGUAAGAGAUAAGGACAAGGAGAGCUCACAUUGUGAGGGAGAGGUAAGAGAUAAGGUUCAGUUUUUUUUUCUAUUUCCUGAAUUAGAGAAUAUUUUGAAAUUCCCUGAUAAUAUAAGCCAUGGUAUUGAAAUAAAUCAUAGGAGAUGAACCCGGAGUCCGACUCAAGGAAAUAGGUAAGGCAUUUCGACUAUCUCGGCGAGC
This 10114-nucleotide long non-coding RNA is filed under the name Triticum aestivum (bread wheat). RNAcentral describes it as "long non-coding RNA (TAES_LNC003574)". Lineage: Eukaryota; Viridiplantae; Streptophyta; Magnoliopsida; Poales; Poaceae. The record is from RNAcentral.